AUCGAUCUUCGCAAUCGCAAUAUUUCCAGCAUUAUUAGUCAAUUACAAAAAAAAAUUAGACUAUCAAUUGACUGAUGUAUAAUGUUCUCACGUACAUAUUCAUAUAUUCAUAUGUGUAUUCUUGCUUCCUCUAACCUUUUACCAACCGUUUCUAUGAUUUCUCACUAUCGAUAAUGCAAAAUGCGGAUUCGAUCACAUACCGUAUUCUUGAUCAAAUACUUCAAAACCACUGAUACGAUGAUUAUAAAACAACGAUAUAAGAGUCGAAGCAGGAUCAAUUUACAUAGUCUUACAGGAUAUGUAGUUAGAAUUUUUAUUGCUUUGUCGUGCACGUAACGGUGAACGAUAUCGAUCUUGAAUCUGACAAGGACUCGAUCAUUGUUGAACAGUUGGUAGUCGAUAAAACAUGGCGAGGACUCGAUCCAAGGUUCGAUCGUAAUCGUAAUAAAAAGUUUCUCUUACUUGAUAAUUUUACACGUGCAAUUUCAUUAAUUAAGUUCUACAUAAAGCGGACACACGUCUCUACCGGCUCAUUCGGAGUUCUCUAAAAUUCUGGCCACCGCUCCUGGUAGUUUGGAUAAGAAGUUAAUUAUAAACUCGACGAACUUUCUUUGCCAACUUCCUGUAAUGUAAUUAUUUUCGCAGGAAGAAAUUAAUUAUUUGAUGUUCAAAUAUUUGACACAAAAAUUUGUUUGUAUUAUUGAAUUGCAUUGUGUGAAAUAGUGUGAAACGAAUAACAUUCUUACAGAUGUGUGAACAUCUGAAAGGAAAUGAUAUUUCAAAAAUGUACAGACAACGAUUAAUCUAUUAUCAUAUUAAUCAUUGACAUGUUUAACCAUACAGACUUAAUGUCAAGAAUUAGAUUUAUUUUUCUAAGCUAUUUUUGAUGAUAAAGGCUAUAGAGGAGAACUGUACUUAAUUACGGUCAAAUAUGAUACAAAAUUGGCCAUACGACACUAUUAAUACUUACUUGCGUACUAUACAUAAUUAUGAAAUAUUUAUAUUUAAUAUCUUUUAUCUUAUCUUUAUAUAAUUUUACGAACACAUAAAACUAUUAAUACACGCUUGCGUUCUCCGCCUUAUUAUGAAACUUACGUUUAAUAUUUUUUGUCCCAUUUGUGUUAUAUAUCUAUCACAUUUUCGUAAUAUAAUAUCUUAUCAUAAAUUAAAUAGUUUAAUUAAGACAUACGCAUACGAUUUCUUAAUAUGGAUUUACAAAUAUAGUAACAUAAUAAGGAGUCUAAAAAUAUUUGGUUUUCUUCUAGGCCAAAAUAUUUGUUUUAUUUCUAAAUAUCUUUGUAUUUUUUAAGCCUUCGAAUAUCAAACGUAAUCUCAAUUUGAUAACAGACUUCGAAAGAUUUACUUUAUAAAAAGAAAUUCUAAUUAAAGAAAGGACCAGUCAGUAAGUUAAAAUAUUUACAAAGAAAUUUGAUUAUUACAAAAUUACUAAAAAAUAUGUAAUGCUUGCGCUAAGUAUAAUAAUUAUAAUACAAUUAAUAAUACAAGUUUUAUAAGAGUAGAAAUAAGGCAAAAAAGCGCAUUAAAAAAAAGGUUUAACUAGCUUCCAACUGUUAAAUUAGUAUUAAUUCCACGUUGACUCUUAAUCGCAUCUAUUCGAUAAUGCCACCAUCUGGCCAAGGAAUAGAAGGACAAUGCUAAGUGGUGUUCAUUGUCCCAUUUUAUACACAUGCAAUAUGUAAAACAAUGCGAGGUCCGUCAACAAUCUCAUUUUUUUCGUAUUCUUUCAUUACUGUGGCAAUUAAUAGAUGCGAAUUACGUUAUCUGAUUUCAUCGACUUGUCGAGUACACACCAUCCCGGAGGUAUUCGAUUAUGGGUCGUUGCAUUUGUAGCUUUAAAAAGUACAUGUAAAUUUAUCUUACGCAUUCUUGCGUAUUCAUAAAACAAAUAUUGAUAAUUCUCAUAAACGAUACCUGUACAGAAACCCAUAUACAUGGAAGUGACAACGAUGAAUAAAUAACUUUUGCAUUUUGGCGAAGAAUAAAACAGGAGGAACAUAGAUGGAACAGAGAUAAAACGGAUAAAACAUAAGAAGUAAAAUAAUUUCAUUGACAACAUUUUAUCAAACGAUAUAAUCUAACGAGUGUGUACGAUAAUAUAUUUAUAAAAUAAAAUAAUAAACCGGUUAAA
This is a long non-coding RNA of Bombus terrestris (buff-tailed bumblebee), 2149 nucleotides long. RefSeq lists it as uncharacterized. The transcript is spliced from 2 exons. The record is from RefSeq and is a predicted model, not a curated record. Lineage: Eukaryota; Metazoa; Arthropoda; Insecta; Hymenoptera; Apidae.